RNAcentral lists this ribosomal RNA (305 nucleotides) under uncultured bacterium. RNAcentral describes it as "bacterial SSU rRNA". It matches the Rfam family "Bacterial small subunit ribosomal RNA", at positions 333 to 636 of the family's 1533-position model. The record is from RNAcentral.
ACAUGCCUACGGGGCGCAGCAGUGAGGAAUAUUGGUCAAUGGCCGAAGGGCUGAACCAGCCAAGCCGCGUGAAGGAAUAAGGCCCUACGGGUCGUGAACUUCUUUAGUCAGGGAACAAAGGGUGCCACGUGUGGCGCUGUGAGUGUACCUGAGGAAUAAGCAUCGGCUAACUCCGUGCCAGCAGCCGCGGUAAUACGGAGGAUGCGAGCGUUAUCCGGACUUAUUGGGUUUAAAGGGUGCGUAGGCGGUUUGUCAAGUCAGCGGUAAAAAUUCCGGGCUCAACCCGGUCCCGCCGUUGAAACUGG